Molecule: ribosomal RNA, 425 nt
Filed under: uncultured Methanosarcina sp.
Lineage: Archaea; Methanobacteriati; Methanobacteriota; Methanomicrobia; Methanosarcinales; Methanosarcinaceae
Description: bacterial SSU rRNA
Rfam family: Archaeal small subunit ribosomal RNA
Source: RNAcentral
CCUACGGGAUGCAGCAGGCGCGAAAACUUUACAAUGCGGGAAACCGUGAUAAGGGAACACCGAGUGCCAGCAUCAUAUGCUGGCUGUCCAGAUGUGUAAACUACAUCUGUUAGCAAGGGCCGGGCAAGACCGGUGCCAGCCGCCGCGGUAACACCGGCGGCCCGAGUGGUGACCGUUAUUAUUGGGUCUAAAGGGUCCGUAGCCGGUUUGGUCAGUCCUCCGGGAAAUCUGAUAGCUUAACUGUUAGGCUUUCGGGGGAUACUGCCAGGCUUGGAACCGGGAGAGGUAAGAGGUACUACAGGGGUAGGAGUGAAAUCUUGUAAUCCCUGUGAGACCACCUGUGGCGAAGGCGUCUUACCAGAACGGGUUCGACGGUGAGGGACGAAAGCUGGGGGCACGAACCGGAUUAGAUACCCAGGUAGUCC